This 450-nucleotide ribosomal RNA is filed under the name uncultured bacterium. RNAcentral's name for it is "partial 16S ribosomal RNA". It matches the Rfam family "Bacterial small subunit ribosomal RNA", at positions 354 to 796 of the family's 1533-position model. The record is from RNAcentral.
GUGAGGAAUAUUGGACAAUGGGCGCAAGCCUGAUCCAGCAAUGCCGCGUGCAGGAAGAAGGCCUUCGGGUUGUAAACUGCUUUUGUACGGAACGAAAAGGCUCUGGUUAAUACCUGGGGCUCAUGACGGUACCGUAAGAAUAAGCACCGGCUAACUACGUGCCAGCAGCCGCGGUAAUACGUAGGGUGCAAGCGUUAAUCGGAAUUACUGGGCGUAAAGCGUGCGCAGGCGGUUUUGUAAGACAGAGGUGAAAUCCCCGGGCUCAACCUGGGAAUUGCCUUGGUGACUGCAAGGCUGGAGUGCGGCAGAGGGGGAUGGAAUUCCGCGUGUAGCAGUGAAAUGCGUAGAUAUGCGGAGGAACACCGAUGGCGAAGGCAAUCCCCUGGGCCUGCACUGACGCUCAUGCACGAAAGCGUGGGGAGCAAACAGGAUUAGAAACCCCAGUAGUCC